GACGAACGCUGGCGGCGUGCUUAACACAUGCAAGUCGAACGGAAAGGCCCUGCUUGCAGGGUACUCGAGUGGCGAACGGGUGAGUAACACGUGGGUGAUCUGCCCUGCACUUCGGGAUAAGCCUGGUAAACUGGGUCUAAUACCGGAGAGGAGCCAUUAUUAGUGUGAUGGUUGGAAAGUUUUUUCGGUGUAGGAUGAGCGCGCGGCCUAUCAGCGUGUUGGUGGGGUAAUGGCCUACUAAGGCGGCGACGGGUAGCCGGCCUGAGAGGGUGGACGGCCACAUUGGGACUGAGAUACGGGCCAGACUCCUACGGGAGGCAGCAGUGGGGAAUAUUGCACAAUGGGCGCAAGCCUGAUGCAGCGACGCCGCGUGGGGGAUGACGGCCUUCGGGUUGUAAACUCCUUUCGCUAGGGACGAAGAGUUUGUGACGGUACCUAGAUAAGAAGCACCGGCUAACUACGUG
Molecule: ribosomal RNA, 464 nt
Filed under: uncultured bacterium
Lineage: Bacteria
Description: partial 16S ribosomal RNA
Rfam family: Bacterial small subunit ribosomal RNA
Source: RNAcentral